GAAAUGCGAUAAUUAAUGUGAAUUGCAGAAUUCAGUGAAUCAUCGAGUCUUUGAACGCAGAUUGCGCCCCUGGUAUUCCGGGGGGCAUGCCUGUCCGAGCGUCAUUGCUGCCCUCAAGCACGGCUUGUGUGUUGGGCUUCCGUCCCUGGCAACGGGGACGGGCCCAAAAGGCAGUGGCGGCACCAUGUCUGGUCCUCGAGCGUAUGGGGCUUUGUCACCCGCUCCCGUAGGUCCAGCUGGCAGCUAGCCUCGCAACCAAUCUUUUUAACCAGGUUGACCUCGGAUCAGGUAGGGAUACCCGCUGAACUUAAGC
This 313-nucleotide unclassified non-coding RNA is filed under the name plant metagenome. RNAcentral's name for it is "partial contains 5.8S ribosomal RNA, internal transcribed spacer 2, and large subunit ribosomal RNA". The stretch from base 1 to 104 matches the Rfam family "5.8S ribosomal RNA", at positions 50 to 154 of the family's 154-position model. The record is from RNAcentral.